UGAUGAUGGUGUGGACAAUCGCAGAGCAUAGAAUUAAAUCUUUCCCAAGCUUGGUAUAGAUUCUCUCCAUCUUUCUACCUAAAACUUGGGAUUUUUCUUCUCAACCA
Capsicum annuum is the source of this 107-nucleotide non-coding RNA. The record is from Rfam. Lineage: Eukaryota; Viridiplantae; Streptophyta; Magnoliopsida; Solanales; Solanaceae.